Long non-coding RNA from Sciurus carolinensis (gray squirrel), 955 nucleotides. RefSeq lists it as uncharacterized. The record is from RefSeq and is a predicted model, not a curated record. The transcript has 3 exons. NCBI's taxonomy places the organism in Eukaryota, Metazoa, Chordata, Mammalia, Rodentia, Sciuridae.
UCCCGACCACUGCUGGGGCUGGACCCUGGCAAUUGGCGCCCAACGUGGGGUCCGAAGAGUGGAUGUUGGUUCUCCUUUGUGGAUUCCUGAUCGAUUAAUCCGACACCAUGAACCCUCCACCCAUGAAACCUCCACGCAAAAGGAAGCUUCCUCCCCAGCCGUAUCCACCACACUUCUGUGCCCAGGAUGAUCAGCAGGGUGAUCAGCUUGCUCAACAAAUUGCCACCAUCAAUGUUCGCUCUCGACAAGCUGCUUCUACUCGACAUGCUACACCUCCAACCUGGGGACAAGUAAAAUGUCUAACAGCCAGAGCAGAACAAAUGGUGUUAUCUCAAAGAAAACCUCUCACUCCGGAAACAUUGUUUGUGGCUAUGUUGGCUCUUCUCUCUUGCCAGUCAUUCUCCGUCUAAUUUGGAAGAGUGUUCUUAAUCUGCGUACUCAAAUUGAAACCAUCAAAUUAAAAAAUAAAAAAUAAAAUAAAAAAGGGGGAGCUACCACGUCUAUUUCCCACCACUCCGACACUUGACACGGUUCUGUUGGAAUUGAGGACUCAACAUUUGACACGGAUCUGUUGAACAACUAUCCUCCCUCUUGGAGGUCAUAGGCAUGGCAUAUACCCAUAUGCCAUAUAUAAGAAUCAAUAUAUCCUUAGAUUCAGAUUAUAGAGAAUACUGGGGAGAUUUCAUGGUCUUGGGACACCAAAUAACAUGCAAUAAAGUUUAAUAUUAAUACUUAGAUGAAAUCAUAAAUAAGCAAUUAUGAUUUGCUCAAACUUGUAAGGAGCCUGUGAUUUCUUUAGUAGACAAAUUCUCUAAAAGUUGUAUAAAGGUAUAUGAGAAUGUAUUCCUCUGGGUUUUGAUGUGGUGUUUGGACUUCAUUGCUUUCUUAGUGUUUAUGAUUAAGUUUAAGGAUAUUUUUCCCACUUAAUAAAAAAUAAAUAGGUUAAUCAUAAGUA